Equus caballus (horse) is the source of this 1880-nucleotide long non-coding RNA. The record is from Ensembl. Lineage: Eukaryota; Metazoa; Chordata; Mammalia; Perissodactyla; Equidae.
GGGAGGAAGUGUCAUUUUACAGCCUCUCCACCUUUAACGGCUUACUUGUUCAGGAAUAAAGAGCAACUCAGAGCCUUCAGCAAGAAACAGGAUUUUAUUAGGCUCAAAGAAUCUUAUUUGGCUUUCCUUGUAUUUCAUUUUAUGGUGACUUCCUCCUUAUGGGAAAUGAUAGUGGUUUCCCAUUUGAGGUGAGAAAACCAGGUGUCAGACGGCAGAAGUAGCCCACGCAGGGUCACACAGCAAGUCUGGGGUUUGAACCCAGUAUUCCAUCGUAGGGAUGUACCGGUUUAUGGAAACCAUCCCUUGUCAAUGAACAUUUCAUUAUUUCCAGUCUUUUGCUGUAACAAACAAUGCUACAGUCUUUGGACAUGAGGGAGCGGAGAGAAACUCCAAGACAAUUUCCUAGAAGCCAAAUUGCUAGGUCGAAAGUUUGUGCAUUUGCACUUUUAAUGGAAAUUUCUGGAUGGUCCUCCAUCGAGAUGCUGCCAUCCACUCCUGCUGGCAGAACUGGUGAGCGCCUGUUUCCCACAACCUCCACAGCACGGGGUGGUGUUGAAGUUUUGAUCUCUGCCAAUGGGAUCCAGAAGGAUGAGCGUGUCUUCCUGCAGCUUUCAUAGGUGUCUUUCGUUCCGCCAGAUGAAUCUUUUCACAUUGUACAGCCACAAAGCAGCUGAGGCAGAGGCGCUUCUCAAGGUCCGCACGGCACAGGCUGCCUCCAUGUGAGCAUCCCAUCUUGGGAGGUGACCCAGCGGAGGUGUGAGGAGGCCAGCAGCCAGUUGGCCCGGCAGGGGCUGUGCUUUUGAGAACCAUCUCGACUCCCUCCGUGUCCUGUCUUCUUGGCUCUUCCUCUCUUCCUAGAUGUGCUGUCACAUCCAGAGGUGUCACUUCCAGAUGUGUGGGCUGUCACGUCUCUAUCAUCUCCCUGCAUCUCUGCACCCUGACAGGCCACCCCAGAGUUCCCGCCCCCAUUUCCUUCUUCUUGCCAUUUAGCCUUUCCUUGGCCCAGAGUUUCGGGAAGGCUGGGCUAAAGUGACAUCCGUCCCCCCUAGUUGGCUCCACAAGACACCAGGGAAAAGGUUAGAGUCUUAAACCAUCUCAGCUGGUCUAGCAUUUAGUGACAGUCCAGCCCACACCCGCUCAUUGUGGGUCAGCGUGCAGAGAGGGUGUGUGUGUGUGUGUGUGUGCCAAUGUGCAUAUAUUGGUGUGUAUUGCAUGGCUGUGUGUCUCUGUGGCAGGCCAGAGUAAAGGAAAAACUGCCUGCUUCUGGGGCCAGGACAGACCUGGGCUUGAACCCCUGCCUUGCCUCUGGCCAGUGGAGUGAUGUUGGGCUAGUUCCUCACCGUCUGUGAGCAUCAGUUCUCCAGUCUAUGAAGUUGGAAUGACAGUCACAGAGCCGAUCCCUGCCAGCCUGGCUGAGUCACCUCCCCCCACUCGCACCUUGCUCCCUCUGCUCCAGCCACUUUCCCUUUUUGCUAGUCCUUGAACAAACCAAAUUCUUCCCGCCGCAGGGCCUUUGCCCUUGCUGUUCCACCUGCCUGGAACUUUCCCCACAUCUUUCCAGGCUCCUCUUCUUCCUCCAGGUCUCAGGUGAAAUAUCACCUUCUCUGAGAAGCCCUCCCUGCCCACUCGGAAGGCCUUGUGCCCCACCCCAGGCCCUGCAGCCUGUCUCUAAUCCAUAACUCUGUCUUAUUUUGUUCACUUGUCAAUGAUCACUUGAAAUGAUCUCAUUUAUUUGUUAAAUUGCCUAUUGUCGGUCCUCCUGCCCCACUAGAAGGUCCGAGCCCUGAGGGCAGGGAUAUUGCAUCCUCCUGUUGGCACAGAGCCUGGCGUCUACAGGUGUUCAGUGAACAAUGGCUGAGUGAAGGAAUGUGAGGUGCUCC